AUGUUGUUAAAUAUAAUGCAAUGCUCUGUUACAUUUCUCACACAACAUAUAAAAUUUGAAUGAAAUUCCUUUGGCUAGAUAAAACAGUCAUUUAACAAAAGAUAAUUAAGUAAUUAUGCACUUUAUUAAAAUCAUAGAAAUUAAGAGCUGAAAAUAUAGAGACCAUCAUAGUCCAAUAUUCUCCUCUCACUGUUGUAUCAAUGGAGACAGAAUACCGGGGCUGUUUUAGAGCUAGAGCCACAUGGAGGAAUUGGUCUUUGUUAAAUAAGGCCUGCAUGGUGAGUAUACAGCAAAUGUGAUGGAGAUAGGAUGAUUAGGACGAAGAGGAACAUUCAUACUAUUCUUUAGUAGCUCUUUCCCCAGGGACUCCUGUAUUUUAACAUACCACAUCUCCUGGCAAAGAAGGUGCUGCGGUGUAUAAAUGAAUAGGCUAUCCGGGUGGGGGUUCCAGGUUAGCCCACUUCCAACUGUGGUAUUUCCUAAUUAGUCUGUAAAAUUUUCAGGAAAUUUUUACUGCUUUAGUCCAAAGAAAAAAGGGAAUAAGUUGCAGUUAGAUCCCUUGGAGGGCCUACAAGGAAUGAGAAGUUUGGAGUUAAUGUAGACAGUUCUCAGAUUUGGGUGGUUCUACCCCCACUGUUUUACAUUUCUGGCAUUCCAUCACUUUCCCAGAUAUUACCACUUUGUGCCUUGAAAUAAAACAAGCAGAUACAAAUGAACUUAUAUCAUCCUUCCUUCCUUAUCUAAUGGUGUCACUACCUUGUUUCUGAAUGUCCCUCAGUACACAGACAGUGAAGCUCAAACUCCCUUAUAUUGGAUGUGUGUCCCUUCCAAAUCUCAUGUUGAAAUGUAAUUCCCAAUGCUGGAGGUAGGGCCUAGUGGGAGGUAUUGGAUCAUGGGGCAGAUCCCCCAUGAAUGGCUUGCUUCUGUCCCCGUAAUAGUGAGUGAAUUCCUGCAGGAUCCAGUUAAGAUUGCGGCACCUACUUCCUCCCACUCACUGUGCGCUCCCGCUCUGGCCACGUGAUGCAUGUGCUCCUCCUUCACCUUCCGCCAUGAUUGGAAGCUUCUUGAGGCCCUCACCAGAAGCAGAUGAGAGCACUAUGCUUACCCUACAGCUUGCAGAACCGUCAGCCAAUGAACCCUCUUUUCUUUAUGCAUUGCCCAGUGUCAAGUAUUCCUUUAUGGCAAUGCAAGAAUAAACUAACACGCUCCUUAAAGGAGAGAAUCUAUGAAAAGCUUCUAGCAGUGUGUCAGGCUCAAUAAAUUGUAGUCCCCAACCUAUCAUGGCACAAAAGGGCCCUUCCAAAUUGACUUCUCAUUUAUAGGACUCUCCCAUCCUCCUUCACUUUUCACUGCCUUCUCCAAAAUGUUCCAGUGUUCUAGAACACUGGGGUCUUCUCCGUUCUGUGCACUAUCCAACUGCUCUAUCUUUGUCCAUGUCAUUACCGCGGUCUAGAAUUCACAUCCACACACUCUGUCAGCCUGCAGAAUCCCCACUGUUCCUUUAGAAUCAAAUCAAGUGUCAACUCUCUGAAGCCCCCGAUUCUCAUUUUCCCCACUACCUCUUCCUCAGAAGGAAUUGCUGCCUAAUUUUGAUUUUGUACAUAGCUCUUUCAUAAUACUGGCCACAAUAUGGCAGUUAUUUGUUUAUGUAUUUGCUUCUUCUGAUAACUAACGAGGUCUUGAAAGUAGAGACUGUGUCUUACAUAACCAACUUGUAGUUCAGCACCCAAAAUAUGAAUCUCACUCUGUCACCCAGGCUGGAGUGGAGCAGUGCCAUCUCGGCUUACGGCAACCUCUCAGGUUCGAGCAAUUCACCUGCCUCAGCCUCCCGAGUAUCUGAGGCUAUAGGCAUGUGCCACCACACCUAGCUAAUUUUUUGUAUUUUUAGUAGAGACAGGGUUUCACCAAGUUGGCUGGUCUCGAACUCCUGACCUCAAUGAUCUGCCUGCCUCAGCCUCCCAAAGUACUGGUAUUACAGGCAUGUGCCACCAUGCCCGGCCAAUUUUCUGUUUUUCUUCUUUUCUUUUCUUUUUUUUGAAUCAGAGUCUCCCUCUGUCACCCAGGCUGGAGUGCAGUGUCACGAUCUCGGCUCAGUGCAACCUCCGCCCUCCGGAUUCAAGCGAUUAUCCUCUCUCAGCCUCCCAAGUAGCUGGGAGUACAGGUGCACGCCACUGCAUCCGGCUAAUUUUUGUAUUUUUAGUAGAGAUGGGGUUUCGCCAUGUUGGCCAGGCUAGUCUCAAACUCCUGACCUCAGGUGAUCCGCCUGCCUCGACUUCCCAAAGUGCUCAGAUUACAGGUGUGAAAAGUGCAUUCCUAGAUAGUAUUUUUCCUUGGGGAUUCAUGAAUGUAGGUCGUUCAGUGUUUUCUGACAAUGUCCUCUGGCAGCCAACCACCAUUCUACUUUGUGUCUCCAUGAAUUUCACUAUUCUAAGCACCUAAUGGCUACCACGAUGGCUGGGUGCCUGCAGGACUGCUAAGAUCCACUGACUGUCUGAUGCCCUCUCUCCUGGGCCUGAGCUUGUCUCCAGGAAGCACUGAUGCAAGUGCAGAUGCAUUUGAGUUGCUCCGAAUAGCAAGGGGGUGAUCCAGUAGAGCUCAGUGUUACUGCGUGGGGAGCAAUGGUCAACUGGACCCUGAUGGGACACCCCUAGGACAC
Molecule: long non-coding RNA, 2656 nt
Filed under: Homo sapiens (human)
Lineage: Eukaryota; Metazoa; Chordata; Mammalia; Primates; Hominidae
Description: HSALNT0298348
Source: RNAcentral